RNAcentral lists this unclassified non-coding RNA (266 nucleotides) under Hevea brasiliensis (rubber tree). The record is from RNAcentral. Lineage: Eukaryota; Viridiplantae; Streptophyta; Magnoliopsida; Malpighiales; Euphorbiaceae.
GUUCACCUUGAAGAGAAUCGAUAAUAGGGAUGCCAAGAAAGAGUUGGAAAUGGAGACUCAGUUGGCUGAAAGUCUUCAGAGUAGUUUAUGCCCUGUAGGGAUUGAAUUAGACCUCAAGAAUGUUGAUAUUUCGGGCAUUGACCCUGUUCAAGAGUUUGGUUUUCUGGUGAUGGGACAUGAAUUUGAUGGUUAUCCUAAGAGAAUGAUUCGAGAGAUGAAGAACUGGAAUUGGUUUAUCGAGGAUGAAGGAGCAGAGAGUGAUACCG